Molecule: transfer RNA, 71 nt
Filed under: Marmota monax (woodchuck)
Lineage: Eukaryota; Metazoa; Chordata; Mammalia; Rodentia; Sciuridae
Description: tRNA.Ala
Source: RNAcentral
GGGGUUGUGGCUCGGUGGUAGAGCGCUCGCCUAGCAUGUGCGAGGCCCUGGGUUUGAUCCUCAGCACCACA